UGAGACGAUAUCUGAAGUAGCUAUAAUAAACAGUUUGCUAGCUCUCAAUGUGUGGAAAAUGUAAUGAGACAGCAUAAAAUAUUUUUAUCGCCACUACUGGGUUUCGUGGCACUCGUAAAAAUCAACUAUGGUACUGCAUAUUUUAUAUAGACCGAACAACAUUGAUCUCUGAUAAACCUAAACCUUUGAAAGCGUAAUCUCCAGCCCACCUGCUAAGCCUGAAAAAUAUGGUGGACCCUUUUAUGCAGUAGAGAUGAUGUUGAUAGACAAACUUACAUUUUAUUUUCUUUAUUAAACUAUGCAUUUUAAAUAAAAUACAAGCAUAAACACAUCACCGCGUAAUAAAGUUAAUUGAAUGCGAUUUUAGUACAUAGUUCUCCAUUUAAAUUCCUACAUUUCCUACCACUUUUAGACGCUAUCUAGACUUCCUGUAUCACCUAGUGUUGCAUCACUAACCUUGACACAGAGGCUGCGUUAAUUUAUCGAUUUCAACUCCACCAUAUAACUCCCAAAUCGCCAUGCAUAUCUGCAUCGUAAUUCUAAAUUGAUUUAAUAAGCUGUAACGUUGUGUUGACCCGAAAUGCAACGUUUGUCGCGGAAACUACGGAAGCAGUGUUCCAAGUAUCAAGAUGGAGCAGUUACCUGAUCAUCGAGACCAUGAAAUGAGUCUUCGGUGUCCCGUGAAGGUAAGUUUUUGACAUUAAUUUGAUAUUUUGGUUAUUAAAUUCGCACUAUGCUGGCGUGCUAUGCGGCUAGCUGCAUGUGUCGAAUGUUCUCAUACCAAAGCACUAAUUAACAUUGGUGCUUCUGAUUUUGGUUUCACGGCCGUGUGGUUUACAAGCUAGAAGAAAAUCAUCACACAGCACAAUAACAGGCCGUGAAUGUGUAUUGGUGAACUAUAGGCUUCCUUUAAGAUUUGGCUUUGGGGCUUUGCUGCUGGGUAUCAAACUAACCAUUUAGAUAAGUUCAGCAUGGACUUUCUUCACGGGAUAAGGAAGGUUAUACCUACCUAUCUCUGGGUGGGUAUCAGGUAAAAAUGUAAGUAUUGGGUAGUUCCCUAGGUUAAAAAUAAAAUAUUUUGACAUUUUAAUAUAAAAAAAUAUCUUAAAAUAAUCGCACUUUCAUUCAUUAUCUUGACGAUAUACUUAUUUAUUAAAUUUUUCUAGCUAAUUUUAGAGAAGUAAGUAUGCUAUUUGACGCAAAAAAAAAAUAAGUGUGGGAGAGCCAUGCUUUAAGUGUGGGAGAGCCAUGCUUCGGCACGAAUGGGCCGGCUCGACCGGAGUGAUACCACGGCCUCACAGAAAACCGACCUGAAACAACGCUUGUGUGAGUUAAGUUACCGGAGGCCCAAUUCCCCCCUUCCCAAUCUUCCCCAUCCCCGAUUCCCGAACCCCCUUAAAUUCCUAACUCCCAAAAAGCCGGCAACGCACUUGUAACGCCUCUGGUGUUUCAUGCAUAAAGCUUACUCAAUAUUAUAAAUCUGAAAGGUUGGGUGAGUGAGUUUGUCUGUGUGUUUGUCAAUCAAUCACGUCAGAACGGCUGAAAGAAUCGGGUUGAAAUUUGGGACAGGGGUAGAUUAUUACAGGUAAGAUAGGGUUAUACGUAGGGCUGUAGGUUACCUAGUCGGAAAUAACACAUCUAUGGACUACUUUUUAUCUAACGGUAAUGUGGGCAAAAAUGCUGGCAAAAGCUAGUAUACAAUAAGUAAAUUCAAAAGGUAUUUAGUUUUUGGGCUAUUAUCAAUUUAUAUAUUUUGCGCUGACAGCGAAAAUUAAUACAGUUUAAUAUUUUAUAAUAUUGAAUACUUAAAUUAUCAACAUUCAAUAAUAUAUUUUUUAUAUUAUAUGUGAAUGUUGUAUUAAACUGUGUUACUUUACGCCAAGUUUACGCUGAAUAAGGGAAAUUAAUGCAGUUUGAUAUUUUGCAAUAUU
Long non-coding RNA from Spodoptera frugiperda (fall armyworm), 1931 nucleotides. RefSeq lists it as uncharacterized. NCBI's taxonomy places the organism in Eukaryota, Metazoa, Arthropoda, Insecta, Lepidoptera, Noctuidae. The record is from RefSeq and is a predicted model, not a curated record. The transcript has 3 exons.